RNAcentral lists this transfer RNA (69 nucleotides) under Tenualosa toli (Toli shad). Its description in RNAcentral is "tRNA-Met". It matches the Rfam family "tRNA". Rfam says of the family: Transfer RNA (tRNA) molecules are approximately 80 nucleotides in length. The record is from RNAcentral. Lineage: Eukaryota; Metazoa; Chordata; Actinopteri; Clupeiformes; Clupeidae.
AGUAGAGUCAGCUAAAUAAGCUUUCGGGCCCAUACCCCGAACAUGUUGGUUAAAGUCCUUCCUCUGCUA